This 1678-nucleotide ribosomal RNA is filed under the name marine metagenome. RNAcentral describes it as "bacterial LSU rRNA". It matches the Rfam family "Bacterial large subunit ribosomal RNA", at positions 1208 to 2925 of the family's 2925-position model. The record is from RNAcentral.
ACAUCACACAGAUGAUGUAGGGUAGAGGAGCGUUCCGCCCAGGGGGAAGCCAAGCGCGUAAGCCGCGGUGGACAGGGCGGAAGUGAGAAUGUCAGCUUGAGUAACGCAAACAUUGGUGAGAAUCCAGUGCCCCGAAAACUCAAGGGUUCCUGCGCAAGGCUCGUCCGCGCAGGGUCAGUCAGGACCUAAGGUGAGGCCGAAAGGCGUAAUUGAUGGCAAGAAGGUUUAUAUUCCUUCACUAGUCUAGGCUUAGUCCUGAGGGACGAACAAAUAACACUCGGCACAAUGGCCUUCCAUGGUAGGAAGGGUCAAACCAUUGUUGUUUGAUGGUAUUUUUUCCAAGAAAAGCUCAUUCGACUUUGAGUCUAGACUACCUGUACCGUAAACCGACACAGGUGAGUGGGUUGAAUAAACUAAGGGGAGCGAGAUAACUCUCUCUAAGGAACUCGGCAAAUUGGCUCUGUACCUUCGGAAGAAAGAGUGCCCCUCAGGGGGCCGCAGUGAAGAGAUCCAGGCGACUGUUUACCAAAAACACAGGUCUCCGCAAAGUCGUAAGACGACGUAUGGGGGCUGACACCUGCCCAGUGCCAGAAGGUUAAAGAAGUUGGUCAAUCUAUGAUGAAGCUAACGACUGAAGCCCUGGUGAACGGCGGCAGUAACUAUAACUGUCCUAAGGUAGCGAAAUUCCUUGUCGGGUAAGUUCCGACCCGCACGAAAGGUGUAACGAUCUGGAUACUGUCUCAGAGAGAGACUCGGUGAAAUAAAACUAUCUGUGAAGAUGCGGAUUACCUGCACACGGACAGAAAGACCCUAUGAAGCUUUACUGUAACCUGGAAUUGCUCUCAAGCUUAUCUUGCGCAGCUUAGGUGGGAGGCUAUGAACCUUUUCUUCUGGGAAGAGGGGAGCCAUCAGUGAGAUACCACUCUUGGUAAGCUAGAGCGCUCAGUCUUCACCGUCAUCCGGUAAGACGACAGUUUCAGGCGGGCAGUUUGACUGGGGCAGUCACCUCCCAAAAGGUAAUGGAGGUGUGCAAAGGUUCCCUCAGGCUGGACGGAAAUCAGCCAUAGAGUGUAAAAGCAAAAGGGAGCUUGACUGCGAGACUGACAUGUCAAGCAGAGACGAAAGUCGGCUUUAGUGAUCCGACGGUGCUGUGUGGAAAGGCCGUCGCUCAACGGAUAAAAGUUACUCUAGGGAUAACAGGCUAAUCUCCCCCAAGAGUUCACAUCGACGGGGAGGUUUGGCACCUCGAUGUCGGCUCGUCGCAUCCUGGAGCGGAAGUACGUUCCAAGGGUUGGGCUGUUCGCCCAUAGAAAGCGGCACGCGAGCUGGGUUCAGAACGUCGUGAGACAGUUUGGUCCAUAUCCUGUGUAGGCGUUUAGAGCAUUGAAAGGAUCUCCCCUUUGUACGAGAGGACCAGGUGGGGACAGACCGCUAGUGUACCAGUUAUCCCACCAGGGGUAAACGCUGGGUAGCUAUGUCUGGAGUAAAUAACUGCUGAAAGCAUAUAAGUAGGAAGUUCACCUUAAGAUGAGUGCUCUUUUGUCUCAACCGUUCAGUUUUACUGACAAAUGAAAGACAAGGAAGGUCACGGCAAGACGAGCCGUUUGAUAGGCAUGAAGUAGAAGUGCAGUAAUGCAUUCUGAAGCUGACAUGUGCUAAUAGACCGAGGGAUUUGAUU